Molecule: unclassified non-coding RNA, 240 nt
Filed under: soil metagenome
Description: partial contains 5.8S ribosomal RNA, internal transcribed spacer 2, and large subunit ribosomal RNA
Source: RNAcentral
AACAUCGCGCACCUGCGGGAACCUGCGGAGGGAUCAUUAAUGAUUGGUGGCUGUUGCUGACUAGUGUUUCUAGUAUGUGCACGCCACACCUUCAAUCCCACUUACACCUGUGCACCUCCUGUAAUAGAUCUAUGUGGAUACGGAGAUAUGAAAGUUUGCGCUCUCGUACUCUGUUGAAGCAGUCUACUACGUUUUUUUACACACACACAAUAGUCAUUGAAUGUAUUUUUUAUUCUUAUG